GAGGCUAAAUGAGCUUGCCGCAUGACUUGAACAGAUACCCCUGUUGCACUGUUGCCAGAAGGACAGUCAUGAACAAUAUGCCAUUGUGUCACUUUGUUCAGGUGUCCAGAUCCCCAUUGUCGCCAUAUCGGUGCUAACCAAGAUGAGAACUACAAUCAUGAUGACAAUACUAAGAAACGGGGCUAGAUGGGUGUAAUAAGAAAAUGUGCAUGCCAUGCAGCAAUAAUAGUCGACAACUAGACUGGAAACUGGAAUAGAUUACUAGAGCUUGAGAAUGUUGCAUGUGCUCAUGGUGCCUGAAGCCCUGAUAGAACAUGAGCUCGAGCAUUGCAACAAGUGAACACACAAACAAUGUUGCGAACUGUUGCCGUCAUGAAUCACUAAUUCGUUCAAAACGAGGAAAUGAUGAGACAGCAUGAUUGAGAUGAGAAGCAUGACUGUUUGGUUUAGAAAAUAGAGCAAGAGGGGGCACACGGACAGCUAAAUAAUGGUAAUAAAACAAUUUCCUGACUGUGUUAUGCUA
Molecule: long non-coding RNA, 523 nt
Organism: Brachypodium distachyon (stiff brome)
Lineage: Eukaryota; Viridiplantae; Streptophyta; Magnoliopsida; Poales; Poaceae
Exons: 2
Source: RefSeq, a predicted model, not a curated record